Molecule: long non-coding RNA, 411 nt
Filed under: Crocodylus porosus (Australian saltwater crocodile)
Lineage: Eukaryota; Metazoa; Chordata; Crocodylia; Crocodylidae
Description: lncRNA (ENSCPRG00005004142.1)
Source: RNAcentral
UUCCUCUCUAAGCACCAAGUUAACAAAGAUCAGUAAAGGAAUUAUUAUGCAUUUCUUCAUUUAAGCCAGACUUCCAGUUUUUCCAGCUGUUGUAAGUUUAUUUUUCUUGGCAAUAAAAAUCACUCCUCCCACUAAGUUGAUGCUCAGAACAGACUCUGAAUAGUGGACAAGUUUGCAGAGCAGUGAAUAACUACACCACAUACAAAGGAAUGCAGGUCGUCUCGCAGCCUCUCACUCAAACCAGCGAGAACUUCUUGUCUACAUCACCCUUCCACUGGCAAAUAACAUUGAGGAGCAAGAAUCAAGGCAGUCAACAUUCAACUAAUGCUUUGCAUGAGCUUCCUGAUAGGCACUCCUGUACAGCACAGAACUGGACAAACUGGCCUUACAUAUGCACAAUAUGAGUUUAAC